AAACCGAGGGUGCAAGCGUUAAUCGGAUUGAUUGGGCGUAAAGGGCGCGUAGGCGGUAAGAUAAGUUGGAUGUGAAAUACUUGGGCUUAACCUGAGAACUGCAUCCAAAACUAUCUUACUAGAGUACAGAAGAGGGAAGUGAAAUUUCCAGUGUAGCGGUGAAAUGCGUAGAUAUUGGAAGGAACACCAGUGGCGAAGGCGACUUCCUGGUCUGAAACUGACGCUGAGGCGCGAAAGCAUGGGGAGCAAACAGGAUUAGAUACCCGAGUAGUCC
Molecule: ribosomal RNA, 274 nt
Filed under: uncultured bacterium
Lineage: Bacteria
Description: partial 16S ribosomal RNA
Rfam family: Bacterial small subunit ribosomal RNA
Source: RNAcentral